AGAGUUUGAUCCUGGCUCAGGACGAACGCUGGCGGCACGCUUAACACAUGCAAGUCGAACGAGAGAAGAGGAGCUUGCUUUUCUGAUCUAGUGGCGGACGGGUGAGUAACACGUGAGCAAUCUGCCUUUCAGAGGGGGAUACCGAUUGGAAACGAUCGUUAAUACCGCAUAACAUAAUUGAACCGCAUGAUUUGAUUAUCAAAGAUUUAUCGCUGAAAGAUGAGCUCGCGUCUGAUUAGCUAGUUGGUAAGGUAACGGCUUACCAAGGCGACGAUCAGUAGCCGGACUGAGAGGUUGAUCGGCCACAUUGGGACUGAGACACGGCCCAGACUCCUACGGGAGGCAGCAGUGGGGAAUAUUGCACAAUGGAGGAAACUCUGAUGCAGCGAUGCCGCGUGAGGGAAGAAGGUUUUAGGAUUGUAAACCUCUGUCUUCAGGGACGAAAAAAGACGGUACCUGAGGAGGAAGCUCCGGCUAACUACGUGCCAGCAGCCGCGGUAAUACGUAGGGAGCGAGCGUUGUCCGGAAUUACUGGGUGUAAAGGGAGCGUAGGCGGGAUCGCAAGUCAGAUGUGAAAACUAUGGGCUUAACCCAUAAACUGCAUUUGAAACUGUGGUUCUUGAGUGAAGUAGAGGUAAGCGGAAUUCCUAGUGUAGCGGUGAAAUGCGUAGAUAUUAGGAGGAACAUCAGUGGCGAAGGCGGCUUACUGGGCUUUAACUGACGCUGAGGCUCGAAAGCGUGGGGAGCAAACAGGAUUAGAUACCCUGGCAGUCCACGCCGUAAACGAUGAUUACUAGGUGUGGGGGGACUGACCCCUUCCGUGCCGCAGCAAACGCAAUAAGUAAUCCACCUGGGGAGUACGACCGCAAGGUUGAAACUCAAAGGAAUUGACGGGGGCCCGCACAAGCAGUGGAGUAUGUGGAUUAAUUCGAAGCAACGCGAAGAACCUUACCAGGUCUUGACAUCGUAUGCAUAGCUCAGAGAUGAGUGAAAUCUCUUCGGAGACAUAUAGACAGGUGGUGCAUGGUUGUCGUCAGCUCGUGUCGUGAGAUGUUGGGUUAAGUCCCGCAACGAGCGCAACCCUUACUGUUAGUUGCUACGCAAGAGCACUCUAGCAGGACUGCCGUUGACAAAACGGAGGAAGGUGGGGAUGACGUCAAAUCAUCAUGCCCCUUAUGACCUGGGCCUCACACGUACUACAAUGGCUGUCAACAGAGGGAAGCAAAGCCGCGAGGUGGAGCGAACCCCUAAAAGCAGUCUUAGUUCGGAUUGUAGGCUGCAACCCGCCUACAUGAAGUCGGAAUUGCUAGUAAUCGCAGAUCAGCAUGCUGCGGUGAAUACGUUCCCGGGCCUUGUACACACCGCCCGUCACGCCAUGGGAGUCGGUAACACCCGAAGCCUGUAGUCCAACCGCAAGGAGGACGCAGUCGAAGGUGGGAUUGAUGACUGGGGUGAAGUCGUAACAAGGUA
RNAcentral lists this ribosomal RNA (1470 nucleotides) under metagenome. RNAcentral describes it as "bacterial SSU rRNA". It matches the Rfam family "Bacterial small subunit ribosomal RNA". The record is from RNAcentral.